Molecule: RNA transcript, 2962 nt
Organism: Callithrix jacchus (white-tufted-ear marmoset)
Lineage: Eukaryota; Metazoa; Chordata; Mammalia; Primates; Cebidae
Gene name: coatomer subunit zeta-1 pseudogene
Source: RefSeq, a predicted model, not a curated record
AGAAGACAUUUGAGCAGCUUCACAAGAAAUGUCUAGAAAAGAAAGUUCUUUAUGUGGACCCUGAAUUCCCACCGGAUGAGACCUCUCUCUUUUAUAGCCAGAAGUUCCCCAUCCAGUUCAUCUGGAAGAGACCUCCGAUGGAGUUUCUCUCUUGUUGCCUAGGCUGGAGUACAAUGGCACAAUCUCAGCUCACUGCAAUCUUCACCUCCCAGGUUCAAGGAAUUCUCCUACCUCAGCCUCCCAAGUAACUGGGAUUGCAGGCAUGCACGAUCAUGCCCAGCUAAUUUUGUAUUUUUAGUAGAGAUCGGGUUUCACAUGUUGGUCAGGCUAGUCUCAACCUCUUGACCUCAGGUGACCUGCCCAACUCGGCCUCCCAAAGUGCUGGGAUUACAGGUGUGAGCCACAGUGCCUUGCCUGCCUUGAACAUCUUUGGUCAGAUUUAUUCCUAGGCAUCUUUUAACAACAACAAAAAAAGUUAAAACAAAAGUGAUUUUUGUUAGUGGCAUCUUUCUUAAACCUGUACUCAAUUUCUCAGGCAUAAACAUGCAUUUGACUCUUUUAUGCAACAAAUUUGCUAAACUAAUAGUAAUUCUAGUAAUUUCUUUUCUUUUUUCUUUUUUUGAGAGGGAGUCUUGCUCUGUCACCAGGCUGGAGUGCUCACUGUAACCCCCACCUCCCAGGUUCAAGCAAUACUCCUGCCUCAACCUCCUGAGUAGCUGAGAUUACAGAUGCCUGGCACCAUACCUAGCUAAGUUUUGUAUUUUCAGUAGAGCUAGGAUUUCACCAUGUUGUCCAGGCUGGUCUCAAAGUCCUGACCUCAAGUGAUCUGCCCACCUCAGCCUCCUAAAGUGCUGGUAUUACAGGCAUGAGCCACCAAGACCAGCUGUAAUUCUAGUAAUUUGAUUGUAGAUCUGAAGUUCUUUAUCUGUAUGUCGAUUCUAUAUUGUUAGAGAGAGAGAGACAGAGAGAGAGAGAGAGAGAGAGAGAGAAUUUACAAAUAAUGACAAGGCUGCCAAGUACCUUAUGCAGUAGCCUCAUUCUUGUUCUAUUGUACUGGCUAAACCCUUCAGCAUAUUGUUACAUAAGAAAAUAGCCAUGUCUGCACUAGCUCCGGGGCAAGAUGGAGGCGCUGAUUUUGGAACCUUCCCUGUAUACUGCCAAAGCCAUCCUGAUUCUGGACAAUGAUGGAGAUCGACUUUUUGCGAAGUACUAUGACGACACCUACCCCAGUGUCAAGGAGCAAAAGACCUUUGAGAAGAACAUCUUCAACAAGACCCAUCAGACUGACAGUGAAAUUGCACUCUUGGAAGGCCUGACAGUGGUAUACAAAAGCAGUAUAGAUCUCUAUUUCUAUGUGAUUGGCAGCUCCUAUGAAAAUGAGCUGAUGCUUAUGGCUGUUCUAAACUGCCUCUUUGACUCAUUGAGCCAGAUGCGGAGGAAAAAUGUAGAAAAGUGAGCACUACUGGAGAACAUGGAGGGGCUGUUCUUGGCUAUGGAUGAAAUUGUAGAUGGAGGGGUGAUCCUAGAGAGUGAUCCCCAGCAGGUGGUACACCGGGUGGCAUUAAGGGGUGAAGAUGUCCCCCUUACGGAGCAGACCAUGUCUCAGGUGCUGCAGUCAGCCAAAGAACAGAUCAAGUGGUUGCUCCUUCGGUGAAGACCCCACUGUUCCUGGUUCUUCAUCCUCUUCGAAAAAUUCACAUGUCUACUGUGAAUUUUCAUCUAGUUCCCCAACUGAUGCUCUCAGGGUCAUCUUGGGGAUCAUAGAGAUUCUUAAAUCUCCAUCCUGUUUGUGGUUGCCCCCUCCACCCUCCCCUACACCCUUCCUUUUCCUUCUCAUUAUUUUUGCAGUUCUGGGAGUAAAGUUCCCAGCAUAUUUAGAUACAGGGCAGGGGAGGCACCCUCUUCCUAUUUAGACUCAAUUAUGCUCACAUGCUCCCCUGCCCCGACAUUUUUGUAAAUUCUGUGCCCUUUGCUGUAGCUACACUUCAGAUUAAAGUAGGAGAAAGAAUGUGCUGAGUGUUUUCCUCCCUUUGCCUUUACCUGGUCCUCAUUCUGACAACCCAGAAAGGGGAGGGAGAAGGAAUUCCUUUCUAUAGAAUGUGUUGGGGUGGGGAUGGGUAGAGAUGUAUCCAAUGCAAGCCCUAGCCCCACUUACUGACCUCAGUGUUUUCUUUUAUUCCUUCUUACUGCCCUGUCCUCUGCCUUGGAAAUGGCCUUAGGAAUAGCUCAUAGGGAAGGGACAACAUGGAAGAAACAGUGAUUUAAAUUGUAUUGAAUAGGUCAUAUAAAAUGUAUUCUCUACUCUGAUCCUGGCAUAUAGCUUCAAAACUGCUAUGGUGAGUGUCCAUCUCUUGGAUAGCUACCAUAACUCUCCACCCUUACUACAUGUGGGAUCGCCUGGUUUGUCUUCUCUGUGUCCUGGAGCAAAGCCACUUCCUAAAACUAAAACUCCAUUGUAGUCUUGGGAAGAAGAGUUUCUGCUCAGAACUGGGGAAGGAGUGGAGCUUAUGACUUGGUCCUCUAGGCUAUCUCUGUCCCCUCAGCUCCCCUAUGUGUGUUUACUCCUCUGCCUUGGGUUUGCAGUCGCUGCUUAACCCUAUCAUCUCUCUGUCUCAGCCUUACACUGAAGCAAUAGCUCUGUGCUCUCCCUAUCUCUAGGUCACUGAGAGGGGUACUCUCAUAAAACUUUUGGCAUUUGGAUUUCCCCAGGAAGAUGGAGAGUGGAAUACUCACUCUUGGGUCUAAUCUUUCCUCUUGACCCAGAACUUCCUCCCCACAAAAAUGUCUUUAAAAACCUUCCUGAGAGUUAAGCAUUCUGCCCCACCAGUUCUCCAACACUGACGUGGGGCAGAUAGCUGGGCAUAUUUGAGGGAGCAUUUUUGUGUAAAAGAUGCAUGGAGCCAGGAGAUAGCCACCUUCAUAAACUGCUCUGUGCAAAGAGGAAUAAAACAUUUUUUCCAAA